AUGGACCAAGCACGGUAAAUAGCAUUUGGGGAAAGUAAGGUGUUAUGUUAUUUGAAGGGAAUCAGAGACAAGGCAGACAUAAACAUGCAAGAAGAGAGAGAGUUGAUGAGGAAAAGAAAGGAAAGGUGAAGAGAAUCAAUCAGCAGCAAUGGGGUGAGUGGGAAAAAAAGGGUUUGAUCGGAUGCAAGUAGACAGCAAUCCAGGUCAAAGACAAACCUAGACUGGUGACGAGCAUACCGAGAUAGCAUGUGAUGGCAAGAAACCCCGAGAGUGUUGUUGGAAGACGGACCGCUGGUAGGAAAGGAAAUGAUGGGUCAUGUUUAAAGGGUUGGGGAGAAAAUUGGGCAAAGGAUUGUUUUGAUAAGAAAUAUUUUGGAAGGAAAAUGAGAUUUUUCAUAGCGAUGUUUUUGGAGUUGUGACAGUUUCCAAUGAUUUUCGUGCCAUUUAUUUACAUUUUACACCCAGGCUGCACACACACACACACACACACACACACCACACCAUGCUAAAGGAACAAAUAAGGAAAAUUAGCGCGGCCGUUAAGCUUCGUUGUAUGACAGUUUGCAGAGGGUGGGUGGGACAAGCAGAUUGAAUUGUGAAUGGAUGGAUCGAGAAGGAACCAGUUGAAAAGGGAAAUAGUGGAAAUGUAGGGAGAAAGGCAUAGGGGAGAUUUGGCUUGUUGAGUACGAAUUCGGAUGGAGAAAUGGCAAUGCUGUAGGAGCCAAAAGGAUCGUCAACAGAGAGGUGACAUGCUACUCGGAGGAGAAGAGUGUAGAUUUACAGUAGGAGAGAAGCGGGAGGAGGGAGAAUAGAAGAAGAAGAGAGGAGAAUUAGUAAUUGGGGGAUUUAGUGUGUUUAUUUCGAUUGAGAUGAAUGUUUAGUGGGAUGAAGAAAGUAAUGAAAGGAUGGAUGAAAAAAAAAGAAGCCUGUGAUCAAUAGUAUUGUAUUUGAUCGAAAUUCAAACAAGAUUUCCAAACAUUACUCU
Molecule: non-coding RNA, 985 nt
Organism: Schizosaccharomyces pombe (fission yeast)
Lineage: Eukaryota; Fungi; Ascomycota; Schizosaccharomycetes; Schizosaccharomycetales; Schizosaccharomycetaceae
Source: the annotation of a GenBank genome assembly